Molecule: ribosomal RNA, 901 nt
Filed under: Leptobacillium chinense
Lineage: Eukaryota; Fungi; Ascomycota; Sordariomycetes; Hypocreales; Cordycipitaceae
Description: partial large subunit ribosomal RNA
Rfam family: Eukaryotic large subunit ribosomal RNA
Source: RNAcentral
CCGGGAAAAAAGAGCAACAGGGAUUGCCCCAGUAACGGCGAGUGAAGCGGCAACAGCUCAAAUUUGAAAUCUGGCCCCUAGGGUCCGAGUUGUAAUUUGCAGAGGAUGCUUUUGACAAGGUGCCUUCCGAGUUCCCUGGAACGGGACGCCAUAGAGGGUGAGAGCCCCGUCUGGUCGGAUACCGCGUCUCUGUAAAGCUCCUUCGACGAGUCGAGUAGUUUGGGAAUGCUGCUCAAAAUGGGAGGUAUAUGUCUUCUAAAGCUAAAUAUUGGCCAGAGACCGAUAGCGCACAAGUAGAGUGAUCGAAAGAUGAAAAGCACUUUGAAAAGAGGGUUAAAAAGUACGUGAAAUUGUUGAAAGGGAAGCGCCUAUGACCAGACUUGGGCCCGGUGAAUCAUCCAGCGUUCUCGCUGGUGCACUUUGCCGGGCACAGGCCAGCAUCAGUUUGGCUUGGGGGAAAAAGGCUUUGGGAACGUAGCUCCUCGGAGUGUUAUAGACCAUUGCAUAAUACCCUGGGCCGGACUGAGGUUCGCGCAUCUGCAAGGAUGCUGGCGUAAUGGUCAUCAGCGACCCGUCUUGAAACACGGACCAAGGAGUCGUCUUCGUAUGCGAGUGUUCGGGUGUAAAACCCCUACGCGUAAUGAAAGUGAACGCAGGUGAGAGCUUCGGCGCAUCAUCGACCGAUCCUGAUGUUCUCGGAUGGAUUUGAGUAAGAGCAUACGGGGCCGGACCCGAAAGAAGGUGAACUAUGCCUGUAUAGGGUGAAGCCAGAGGAAACUCUGGUGGAGGCUCGCAGCGGUUCUGACGUGCGAAUCGAUCGUCAAAUAUGGGCAUGGGGGCGAAAGACUAAUCGAACCUUCUAGUAGCUGGUUUCCGCGUUCUCUCUUCCCCCGGAGAAAAC